This 523-nucleotide ribosomal RNA is filed under the name uncultured Glomus. RNAcentral describes it as "SSU rRNA". It matches the Rfam family "Eukaryotic small subunit ribosomal RNA", at positions 561 to 1085 of the family's 1831-position model. The record is from RNAcentral. Lineage: Eukaryota; Fungi; Glomeromycota; Glomeromycetes; Glomerales; Glomeraceae.
CUGGUGCCAGCAGCCGCGGUAAUUCCAGCUCCAAUAGCGUAUAUUAAAGUUGUUGCAGUUAAAAAGCUCGUAGUUGAAUUUCGGGGUUAGUAGGUUGGUCAUGCCUCCGGUAUGUACUGAUCUUACUGAUUCCUCCUUCCUGAUGAACCGUAAUGCCAUUAAUUUGGUGUUGCGGGGAAACUGGACUGUUACUUUGAAAAAAUUAGAGUGUUUAAAGCAAGCUAACGCUUGAAUACAUUAGCAUGGAAUAAUGAAAUAGGACGUUCGAUCCUAUUUUGUUGGUUUCUAGGAUUGACGUAAUGAUUAAUAGGGAUAGUUGGGGGCAUUAGUAUUCAAUUGUCAGAGGUGAAAUUCUUGGAUUUAUUGAAGACUAACUACUGCGAAAGCAUUUGCCAAGGAUGUUUUCAUUAAUCAAGAACGAAAGUUAGGGGAUCGAAGACGAUCAGAUACCGUCGUAGUCUUAACCAUAAACUAUGCCGACUAGGGAUCGGAUGAUGUUAAUUUUUUAAUGACUCAUUCGGCG